RNAcentral lists this ribosomal RNA (309 nucleotides) under uncultured bacterium. RNAcentral's name for it is "partial 16S ribosomal RNA". It matches the Rfam family "Bacterial small subunit ribosomal RNA", at positions 1 to 334 of the family's 1533-position model. The record is from RNAcentral.
CGCGAGUAUUCAGAGUUUGAUCCUGGCUCAGAGCGAACGCUGGCGGCAGGCCUAACACAUGCAAGUCGAACGAACUCUUCGGAGUUAGUGGCGGACGGGUGAGUAACACGUGGGAACGUGCCUUUAGGUUCGGAAUAACUCAGGGAAACUUGUGCUAAUACCGAAUGUGCCCUUCGGGGGAAAGAUUUAUCGCCUUUAGAGCGGCCCGCGUCUGAUUAGCUAGUUGGUGGUGUAAUGGACCACCAAGGCGACGAUCAGUAGCUGGUCUGAGAGGAUGAUCAGCCACAUUGGGACUGAGACACGGCCCAA